Molecule: RNA transcript, 1712 nt
Organism: Ostrea edulis (European flat oyster)
Lineage: Eukaryota; Metazoa; Mollusca; Bivalvia; Ostreida; Ostreidae
Gene name: glycerol kinase-like
Exons: 17
Source: RefSeq, a predicted model, not a curated record
AAACACAUUCUGUUGACAGUGACACUUGUUGCAGAAAUAAACCAUGGCUACAUCUCCACUCAGAUCGCCUGUCCUCGUCAGUGGUAUUGAUCAGGGGACUAGUGGAACCAAAUUCUGUGUAUUUGAUAGCGUCACUGGAGAUAUCGUUGCCUCCCACAACAUGGAGACAAAGAGAAUCGAACCGAAAGAAGGAUGGACAGAGAUGGAUCCUCUUCAUAUCAUGGACACAGUUUGGAAAAGCAUCGAUGCUACUGUUCAACAGCUGAAGGACAAGAAUAUAGACAUACGGGAAAUAAAAUGUCUGGGAAUCACCAAUCAGAUGUUGACUUUAAUACCAUGGAGCAGCAAAACGGGCAAACCCUUCUACAAUGCUAUAGUAUGGUGCGAUAUUCGAACGCAAGACGAAAAUGAAAAAGAACUUGACAAGGUGCCUGGAAGAAAUAAAGAUCAUUUCAGAAGGAUCACUGGUCUGCCUUUGAGUCCUUUGUUUUGGUACACAAAAAUUCCAUGGAUCCUUAAGAACGUUCCUGGCGUAAUGGAAGCUAUAAAAGAUGGUACCUGUAUGCUUGGUACAGUCAACUCUUGGAUUUUAUGGAAUCUCACUGGCGGUGUAGAUGGGGGACUGUAUCUGACGGACAUUUCUAAUGGUCAAAUUACAGGCUUGUUUAAUCUGGAAACAUGUAACUGGGAUCCAGAAAUUUGCAGGUAUUUUGGAAUUCCUCAUGAUGUAUUUGCUGAGGUUAGGAGUACCUCAGAAAUUUAUGGCUACAUAAAAUCUGGACCUCUGGCUGGGAUUCCCAUAUCAGGGAUGUUAGGAGACCAAAAGGCAGGAACAGUCGGUCAGUUAUGUUUCACAGCAGGUCAAUCGAAAUGCACAUAUGGAACAGCAGGGGGCUUAAAUAUAAACACGGGAACCAAGGCUGUGUACUCUACCUGUGGAAUGAUGACGUUACCACUUUUCCAACUCGGAAAAUCAGCUCCUGUUAUAUAUAAUCUUUUAGGAGCCAUUGAAGGUUGUGGACAGUUAAUGCGAUGGUUGAGAGACAAUCUACAGAUCGUCAAAUCCGUUGCAGAAAUUGAAACGUUGGCGACAUCGGUAGAAUCAUCACAUGACUGUUUCUUUGUUCCCGCCUUUGGAGGACUGUUAGCCCCGUAUUGGGAGGAUGACGCACGAGGAACAAUAGUAGGAAUGACCGGAUACACAAGGAGGGAACAUAUUUGCAGGGCGGCUCUGGAGUCGGCUUGCUUCAUGGUUACGGACCUUCUGGAGGUUGUUGAGAAGGAUACAGGAUAUCCGAUAUCUGAGUUGAGAGUUGAUGGCGGGAUGACUGUAGACAACUUGAUGAUGCAAAUCCAAGCCAAUUUUAUCAACAAAACAUUCGACCGUCUGUGGUUGAGUCGACUUCAUUCGGGGCUGCUCUAAUGGCGGGAGCAGCUGAUGGUAUCAACGUUUUCCCUGUUUCCCCGGAUAAGCUGAAGCUUAACGUGGCCUUUCCCCUUCCUGAAACCAUUUUCAAACCGGCAAUGGAUGAUCAUGAACGUGAACGACUUUUCAAACGAUGGGAGAAAGCAAUAGAGAGGGCGAGACACUGGACCUCACAGUAAUUGGAUGCAUUAGGGGAUUUUCAUUAAUUGGAUCCUUUGCUGCUAAACAAAAUCAUGUAAAAAAGGGAAGAAAUUAGAUGGUUGUGUUAUUCAACUCAUAUUCAGGG